CAUAAGAGAUAGUCAUAAAGAUUUUAUUUGGAAAAGUAAACAGGAAAACCGUGCCUUAAGGGAAGAAUUAUAUCGUAUAGAGAGACAACAGAUUGUUGACAGAGACCAGUUUGAAAACGAUAUAAGAAGGAUCAAUAACACCAAGCACGGACAUGCUGUUUAUGCACUACACACUCACCACACAAAGAUCGCUGAUCUGAAAGACGAGAAUGACGCAAUAAGAGAUAGUUGUAAAGAUUUUAUUUGGAGAAGUAAACAGGAAAGCCUUGCCUUAAGGGAAGAAUUAUAUCGUAUAGAGAGACAACAGAUUGUUGACAGAGACCAGUUUGAAAACGAUAUAAGAAGGAUCAAUAACACCAAGCACGGACAUGCUGUUUAUGCACUACACACUCACCACACAAAGAUCGCUGAUUUUAGAGACGAAAACGCUGCCAUAGGAGAUAGUCUUGAAGGUUAUAUUGGGAGAAAUAAACAUUAUUUAGAGAAAAUUAGUGCUUUAUGGUAACAAUUAGAUAAUACGUAGAGACAGUACAUUGUUGAUAGAGAACAGUUGGAGAAAGAUAUAAAAAGGAUCAAUAGC
Molecule: long non-coding RNA, 580 nt
Organism: Ruditapes philippinarum (Manila clam)
Lineage: Eukaryota; Metazoa; Mollusca; Bivalvia; Venerida; Veneridae
Exons: 3
Source: RefSeq, a predicted model, not a curated record